This 2903-nucleotide ribosomal RNA is filed under the name Escherichia coli. RNAcentral's name for it is "23S ribosomal RNA". It matches the Rfam family "Bacterial large subunit ribosomal RNA". Lineage: Bacteria; Pseudomonadati; Pseudomonadota; Gammaproteobacteria; Enterobacterales; Enterobacteriaceae. The record is from RNAcentral.
GGUUAAGCGACUAAGCGUACACGGUGGAUGCCCUGGCAGUCAGAGGCGAUGAAGGACGUGCUAAUCUGCGAUAAGCGUCGGUAAGGUGAUAUGAACCGUUAUAACCGGCGAUUUCCGAAUGGGGAAACCCAGUGUGAUUCGUCACACUAUCAUUAACUGAAUCCAUAGGUUAAUGAGGCGAACCGGGGGAACUGAAACAUCUAAGUACCCCGAGGAAAAGAAAUCAACCGAGAUUCCCCCAGUAGCGGCGAGCGAACGGGGAGGAGCCCAGAGCCUGAAUCAGUGUGUGUGUUAGUGGAAGCGUCUGGAAAGGCGCGCGAUACAGGGUGACAGCCCCGUACACAAAAAUGCACAUGCUGUGAGCUCGAUGAGUAGGGCGGGACACGUGGUAUCCUGUCUGAAUAUGGGGGGACCAUCCUCCAAGGCUAAAUACUCCUGACUGACCGAUAGUGAACCAGUACCGUGAGGGAAAGGCGAAAAGAACCCCGGCGAGGGGAGUGAAAAAGAACCUGAAACCGUGUACGUACAAGCAGUGGGAGCACGCUUAGGCGUGUGACUGCGUACCUUUUGUAUAAUGGGUCAGCGACUUAUAUUCUGUAGCAAGGUUAACCGAAUAGGGGAGCCGAAGGGAAACCGAGUCUUAACUGGGCGUUAAGUUGCAGGGUAUAGACCCGAAACCCGGUGAUCUAGCCAUGGGCAGGUUGAAGGUUGGGUAACACUAACUGGAGGACCGAACCGACUAAUGUUGAAAAAUUAGCGGAUGACUUGUGGCUGGGGGUGAAAGGCCAAUCAAACCGGGAGAUAGCUGGUUCUCCCCGAAAGCUAUUUAGGUAGCGCCUCGUGAAUUCAUCUCCGGGGGUAGAGCACUGUUUCGGCAAGGGGGUCAUCCCGACUUACCAACCCGAUGCAAACUGCGAAUACCGGAGAAUGUUAUCACGGGAGACACACGGCGGGUGCUAACGUCCGUCGUGAAGAGGGAAACAACCCAGACCGCCAGCUAAGGUCCCAAAGUCAUGGUUAAGUGGGAAACGAUGUGGGAAGGCCCAGACAGCCAGGAUGUUGGCUUAGAAGCAGCCAUCAUUUAAAGAAAGCGUAAUAGCUCACUGGUCGAGUCGGCCUGCGCGGAAGAUGUAACGGGGCUAAACCAUGCACCGAAGCUGCGGCAGCGACACUGUGUGUUGUUGGGUAGGGGAGCGUUCUGUAAGCCUGCGAAGGUGUGCUGUGAGGCAUGCUGGAGGUAUCAGAAGUGCGAAUGCUGACAUAAGUAACGAUAAAGCGGGUGAAAAGCCCGCUCGCCGGAAGACCAAGGGUUCCUGUCCAACGUUAAUCGGGGCAGGGUGAGUCGACCCCUAAGGCGAGGCCGAAAGGCGUAGUCGAUGGGAAACAGGUUAAUAUUCCUGUACUUGGUGUUACUGCGAAGGGGGGACGGAGAAGGCUAUGUUGGCCGGGCGACGGUUGUCCCGGUUUAAGCGUGUAGGCUGGUUUUCCAGGCAAAUCCGGAAAAUCAAGGCUGAGGCGUGAUGACGAGGCACUACGGUGCUGAAGCAACAAAUGCCCUGCUUCCAGGAAAAGCCUCUAAGCAUCAGGUAACAUCAAAUCGUACCCCAAACCGACACAGGUGGUCAGGUAGAGAAUACCAAGGCGCUUGAGAGAACUCGGGUGAAGGAACUAGGCAAAAUGGUGCCGUAACUUCGGGAGAAGGCACGCUGAUACGUAGGUGAAGUCCCUCGCGGAUGGAGCUGAAAUCAGUCGAAGAUACCAGCUGGCUGCAACUGUUUAUUAAAAACACAGCACUGUGCAAACACGAAAGUGGACGUAUACGGUGUGACGCCUGCCCGGUGCCGGAAGGUUAAUUGAUGGGGUCAGCGCAAGCGAAGCUCUUGAUCGAAGCCCCGGUAAACGGCGGCCGUAACUAUAACGGUCCUAAGGUAGCGAAAUUCCUUGUCGGGUAAGUUCCGACCUGCACGAAUGGCGUAAUGAUGGCCAGGCUGUCUCCACCCGAGACUCAGUGAAAUUGAACUCGCUGUGAAGAUGCAGUGUACCCGCGGCAAGACGGAAAGACCCCGUGAACCUUUACUAUAGCUUGACACUGAACAUUGAGCCUUGAUGUGUAGGAUAGGUGGGAGGCUUUGAAGUGUGGACGCCAGUCUGCAUGGAGCCGACCUUGAAAUACCACCCUUUAAUGUUUGAUGUUCUAACGUUGACCCGUGAUCCGGGUUGCGGACAGUGUCUGGUGGGUAGUUUGACUGGGGCGGUCUCCUCCUAAAGAGUAACGGAGGAGCACGAAGGUUGGCUAAUCCUGGUCGGACAUCAGGAGGUUAGUGCAAUGGCAUAAGCCAGCUUGACUGCGAGCGUGACGGCGCGAGCAGGUGCGAAAGCAGGUCAUAGUGAUCCGGUGGUUCUGAAUGGAAGGGCCAUCGCUCAACGGAUAAAAGGUACUCCGGGGAUAACAGGCUGAUACCGCCCAAGAGUUCAUAUCGACGGCGGUGUUUGGCACCUCGAUGUCGGCUCAUCACAUCCUGGGGCUGAAGUAGGUCCCAAGGGUAUGGCUGUUCGCCAUUUAAAGUGGUACGCGAGCUGGGUUUAGAACGUCGUGAGACAGUUCGGUCCCUAUCUGCCGUGGGCGCUGGAGAACUGAGGGGGGCUGCUCCUAGUACGAGAGGACCGGAGUGGACGCAUCACUGGUGUUCGGGUUGUCAUGCCAAUGGCACUGCCCGGUAGCUAAAUGCGGAAGAGAUAAGUGCUGAAAGCAUCUAAGCACGAAACUUGCCCCGAGAUGAGUUCUCCCUGACCCUUUAAGGGUCCUGAAGGAACGUUGAAGACGACGACGUUGAUAGGCCGGGUGUGUAAGCGCAGCGAUGCGUUGAGCUAACCGGUACUAAUGAACCGUGAGGCUUAACCUU